This 465-nucleotide ribosomal RNA is filed under the name Vreelandella stevensii. RNAcentral's name for it is "partial 16S ribosomal RNA". It matches the Rfam family "Bacterial small subunit ribosomal RNA", at positions 338 to 795 of the family's 1533-position model. The record is from RNAcentral. Lineage: Bacteria; Pseudomonadati; Pseudomonadota; Gammaproteobacteria; Oceanospirillales; Halomonadaceae.
CCUACGGGAGGCUGCAGUGGGGAAUAUUGGACAAUGGGCGAAAGCCUGAUCCAGCCAUGCCGCGUGUGUGAAGAAGGCCUUCGGGUUGUAAAGCACUUUCAGUGGGGAAGAAAGCCUUGGGGCUAAUACCCUCGAGGAAGGACAUCACCCACAGAAGAAGCACCGGCUAACUCCGUGCCAGCAGCCGCGGUAAUACGGAGGGUGCGAGCGUUAAUCGGAAUUACUGGGCGUAAAGCGCGCGUAGGCGGUCUGAUAAGCCGGUUGUGAAAGCCCCGGGCUCAACCUGGGAACGGCAUCCGGAACUGUCAGGCUAGAGUGCAGGGGAGGAAGGUAGAAUUCCCGGUGUAGCGGUGAAAUGCGUAGAGAUCGGGAGGAAUACCAGUGGCGAAGGCGGCCUUCUGGACUGACACUGACGCUGAGGUGCGAAAGCGUGGGUAGCAAACAGGAUUAGAUACCCUUGUAGUC